UACGAAGGGGGCGAGCGUUGUUCGGAUUUACUGGGCGUAAAGGGCGCGUAGGCGGCCCUCUUUGUCGCGUGUGAAAUCCCCAGGCUUAACCUGGGAACUGCAUUCGAGACUGCAUUGCUAGAGUAUGGGAGAGGGAAGUGGAAUUCCGAGUGUAGAGGUGAAAUUCGUAGAUAUUCGGAGGAACACCAGUGGCGAAGGCGGCUCACUGGUCCAUUACUGACGCUGAGGUGCGAAAGCGUGGGGAGCAAACAGG
RNAcentral lists this ribosomal RNA (253 nucleotides) under uncultured bacterium. Its description in RNAcentral is "partial 16S ribosomal RNA". It matches the Rfam family "Bacterial small subunit ribosomal RNA", at positions 524 to 776 of the family's 1533-position model. The record is from RNAcentral.